This 495-nucleotide ribosomal RNA is filed under the name uncultured bacterium. RNAcentral describes it as "partial 16S ribosomal RNA". It matches the Rfam family "Bacterial small subunit ribosomal RNA", at positions 28 to 507 of the family's 1533-position model. The record is from RNAcentral.
GACGAACGCUGGCGGCGUGCCUAAUACAUGCAAGUAGAACGCUGAAGGAGGAGCUUGCUUCUCUGGAUGAGUUGCGAACGGGUGAGUAACGCGUAGGUAACCUGCCUGGUAGCGGGGGAUAACUAUUGGAAACGAUAGCUAAUACCGCAUAAUAGUAGAUGUUGCAUGACAUUUGCUUAAAAGGUGCACUUGCAUCACUACCAGAUGGACCUGCGUUGUAUUAGCUAGUUGGUGAGGUAACGGCUCACCAAGGCGACGAUACAUAGCCGACCUGAGAGGGUGAUCGGCCACACUGGGACUGAGACACGGCCCAGACUCCUACGGGAGGCAGCAGUAGGGAAUCUUCGGCAAUAGACGGAAGUCUGACCGAGCAACGCCGCGUGAGUGAAGAAGGUUUUCGGAUCGUAAAGCUCUGUUGUAAGAGAAGAACGAGUGUGAGAGUGGAAAGUUCACACUGUGACGGUAUCUUACCAGAAAGGGACGGCUAACUACGUG